GCGCCUUUAGCUCAGUUGGGAGAGCGCCCCGCUUACAUUGGGGAGGUCGUUGGUUCGAACCCAGCAAGGCGCA
RNAcentral lists this transfer RNA (73 nucleotides) under Candidatus Zambryskibacteria bacterium RIFCSPHIGHO2_12_FULL_43_12b. RNAcentral's name for it is "tRNA-Val". It matches the Rfam family "tRNA". Rfam says of the family: Transfer RNA (tRNA) molecules are approximately 80 nucleotides in length. Their secondary structure includes four short double-helical elements and three loops (D, anti-codon, and T loops). Further hydrogen bonds mediate the characteristic L-shaped molecular structure. tRNAs have two regions of fundamental functional importance: the anti-codon, which is responsible for specific mRNA codon recognition, and the 3' end, to which the tRNAs corresponding amino acid is attached (by aminoacyl-tRNA synthetases). tRNAs cope with the degeneracy of the genetic code in two manners: having more than one tRNA (with a specific anti-codon) for a particular amino acid; and 'wobble' base-pairing, i.e. permitting non-standard base-pairing at the 3rd anti-codon position. Lineage: Bacteria; Candidatus Zambryskiibacteriota. The record is from RNAcentral.